GGGCGAUUAGCUCAGUUGGAAGAGCGCCACGUUCACACCGUGGAGGUCAUGGGAUCGAGGCCCGUAUCGCCCACCA
RNAcentral lists this transfer RNA (76 nucleotides) under Ilumatobacteraceae bacterium. RNAcentral describes it as "tRNA-Val". It matches the Rfam family "tRNA". Rfam says of the family: Transfer RNA (tRNA) molecules are approximately 80 nucleotides in length. Their secondary structure includes four short double-helical elements and three loops (D, anti-codon, and T loops). Further hydrogen bonds mediate the characteristic L-shaped molecular structure. tRNAs have two regions of fundamental functional importance: the anti-codon, which is responsible for specific mRNA codon recognition, and the 3' end, to which the tRNAs corresponding amino acid is attached (by aminoacyl-tRNA synthetases). tRNAs cope with the degeneracy of the genetic code in two manners: having more than one tRNA (with a specific anti-codon) for a particular amino acid; and 'wobble' base-pairing, i.e. permitting non-standard base-pairing at the 3rd anti-codon position. The record is from RNAcentral. RNAcentral also lists the same sequence under 4 other names. Lineage: Bacteria; Bacillati; Actinomycetota; Acidimicrobiia; Acidimicrobiales; Ilumatobacteraceae.